This 512-nucleotide ribosomal RNA is filed under the name uncultured bacterium. RNAcentral describes it as "bacterial SSU rRNA". It matches the Rfam family "Bacterial small subunit ribosomal RNA", at positions 15 to 518 of the family's 1533-position model. The record is from RNAcentral.
GAUCAUGGCUCAGGAUGAACGCUAGCUACAGGCUUAACACAUGCAAGUCGAGGGGCAGCAUAACGAAAGCUUGCUUUGUGAUGGCGACCGGCGCACGGGUGAGUAACGCGUAUCCAACCUUCCCUAUACUAGAGAAUAGCCCGGCGAAAGUCGGAUUAAUGCUCUAUGUUCUUCUUUGAUGGCAUCUGACGAGAAGCAAAGGUUUACCGGUAUAGGAUGGGGAUGCGUCUGAUUAGGUUGUUGGCGGGUAACGGCCCACCAAGCCUACGAUCAGUAGGGGUUCUGAGAGGAAGGUCCCCCACAUUGGUACUGAGACACGGACCAAACUCCUACGGGAGGCAGCAGUGAGGAAUAUUGGUCAAUGGGCGAGAGCCUGAACCAGCCAAGUAGCGUGCAAGGAUGACUGCCCUAUGGGUUGUAAACUGCUUUUAUGCGGGAAUAAAGUCAGGUACGUGUACCUGUUUGUAUGUACCGCAUGAAUAAGGACCGGCUAAUUCCGUGCCAGCCGCAGC